Molecule: ribosomal RNA, 254 nt
Filed under: uncultured bacterium
Lineage: Bacteria
Description: partial 16S ribosomal RNA
Rfam family: Bacterial small subunit ribosomal RNA
Source: RNAcentral
UACGGGGGGAGCAAGCGUUGUUCGGAUUUACUGGGCGUAAAGGGCGCGUAGGCGGCCACCGCAAGUCGGUUGUGAAAUCUCCGGGCUUAACCCGGAAAGGUCAAUCGAUACUGCGGGGCUAGAGUGCAGAAGGGGCAACUGGAAUUCUCGGUGUAGCGGUGAAAUGCGUAGAUAUCGAGAGGAACACCUGCGGCGAAGGCGGGUUGCUGGGCUGACACUGACGCUGAAGCGCGAAAGCCAGGGGAGCAAACGGG